RNAcentral lists this ribosomal RNA (440 nucleotides) under uncultured bacterium. RNAcentral's name for it is "partial 16S ribosomal RNA". It matches the Rfam family "Bacterial small subunit ribosomal RNA", at positions 338 to 795 of the family's 1533-position model. The record is from RNAcentral.
CCUACGGGAGACAGCAGUGGGGAAUAUUGCACAAUGGGGGCAACCCUGAUGCAGCGACGCCGCGUGAGCGAAGAAGUAUCUCGGUAUGUAAAGCUCUAUCAGCAGGGAAGAAAAUGACGGUACCUGACUAAGAAGCCCCGGCUAACUACGUGACAGCAGCCGCGGUAAUACGUAGGGGGCAAGCGUUCUCCGGUUUUACUGGGUGUAACGGGAGCGCAGGCGGCGCGGUAAGUCUGAUGUGAAAGCCCGGGGCUCAACCCCGGGACUGCAUUGGAAACUGUCGUGCUGGAGUGGCGGAGGGGCAAGUGGAAUUCCUAGUGUAGCGGUGAAAUGCGUAGAUAUUAGGAGGAACACCAGUGGCGAAGGCGGCUUGCUGGACGACAACUGACGCUGAGGCUCGAAAGCGUGGGGAGCAAACAGGAUUAGAUACCCCGGUAGUC